CCGCGUGAGGGAUGACGGCCUUCGGGUUGUAAACCUCUUUCAGCAGGGAAGAAGCGAGAGUGACGGUACCUGCAGAAGAAGCGCCGGCUAACUACGUGCCAGCAGCCGCGGUAAUACGUAGGGCGCAAGCGUUGUCCGGAAUUAUUGGGCGUAAAGAGCUCGUAGGCGGCUUGUCGCGUCGGAUGUGAAAGCCCGGGGCUUAACCCCGGGUCUGCAUUCGAUACGG
RNAcentral lists this ribosomal RNA (226 nucleotides) under uncultured Streptomyces sp. RNAcentral describes it as "partial 16S ribosomal RNA". It matches the Rfam family "Bacterial small subunit ribosomal RNA", at positions 397 to 635 of the family's 1533-position model. Lineage: Bacteria; Bacillati; Actinomycetota; Actinomycetes; Kitasatosporales; Streptomycetaceae. The record is from RNAcentral.